This 419-nucleotide ribosomal RNA is filed under the name bacterium. RNAcentral's name for it is "partial 16S ribosomal RNA". It matches the Rfam family "Bacterial small subunit ribosomal RNA", at positions 355 to 776 of the family's 1533-position model. The record is from RNAcentral.
UGGGGGAUAUUGCACAAUGGGCGAAAGCCUGAUGCAGCGACGCCGCGUGGGGGAUGAAGGCCUUCGGGUUGUAAACUUCUUUUGCUCUGAACAAGGCGCACCAUGGGGUGUGUUGAGUGUAGGGGUUGAUUAGCGCCGGCUAACUACGUGCCAGCAGCCGCGGUAAUACGUAGGGCGCGAGCGUUGUCCGGAAUUAUUGGGCGUAAAGGGCUUGUAGGUGGCUGGUUGCGUCUGUCGUGAAAGCUCAUGGCUUAACGGUGGGUUUGCGGUGGGUACGGGCUGGCUUGAGUGCAGUAGGGGAGGCUGGAAUUCCUGGUGUAGCGGUGGAAUGCGCAGAUAUCAGGAGGAAUACCGGUGGCGAAGGCGGGUCUCUGGGCUGUUACUGACACUGAGGAGCGAAAGCAUGGGGAGCGAACAGG